Molecule: ribosomal RNA, 431 nt
Filed under: Microbacterium maritypicum
Lineage: Bacteria; Bacillati; Actinomycetota; Actinomycetes; Micrococcales; Microbacteriaceae
Description: bacterial SSU rRNA
Rfam family: Bacterial small subunit ribosomal RNA
Source: RNAcentral
CGAACGGGUGAGUAACACGUGAGCAACCUGCCCCUGACUCUGGGAUAAGCGCUGGAAACGGCGUCUAAUACUGGAUAUGUGACGUGACCGCAUGGUCUGCGUCUGGAAAGAAUUUCGGUUGGGGAUGGGCUCGCGGCCUAUCAGCUUGUUGGUGAGGUAAUGGCUCACCAAGGCGUCGACGGGUAGCCGGCCUGAGAGGGUGACCGGCCACACUGGGACUGAGACACGGCCCAGACUCCUACGGGAGGCAGCAGUGGGGAAUAUUGCACAAUGGGCGCAAGCCUGAUGCAGCAACGCCGCGUGAGGGACGACGGCCUUCGGGUUGUAAACCUCUUUUAGCAGGGAAGAAGCGAAAGUGACGGUACCUGCAGAAAAAGCGCCGGCUAACUACGUGCCAGCAGCCGCGGUAAUACGUAGGGCGCAAGCGUUAU